RNAcentral lists this ribosomal RNA (253 nucleotides) under uncultured bacterium. Its description in RNAcentral is "partial 16S ribosomal RNA". It matches the Rfam family "Bacterial small subunit ribosomal RNA", at positions 524 to 776 of the family's 1533-position model. The record is from RNAcentral.
UACGAAAGGGGCUAGCGUUGUUCGGAAUUACUGGGCGUAAAGCGCACGUAAGCGGCCUUGCAAGAUGGGGGUGAAAUCCCCGGGCUCAACCAGGGAACUGCCUUCAUGACUGCAAAGCUUGAGGAUGUGAGAGGUUGGAGGUAUUCCGAGUGUAGAGGUGAAAUUCGUAGAUAUUCGGAAGAACACCAGUGGCGAAGGCGGCCAACUGGUACAUUUCUGACGCUGAGGUGCGAAAGCGUGGGGAGCAAGCAGG